Molecule: unclassified non-coding RNA, 253 nt
Filed under: uncultured Actinomycetes bacterium
Lineage: Bacteria; Bacillati; Actinomycetota; Actinomycetes
Description: uncultured actinobacterium contains 16S-23S intergenic spacer region
Rfam family: Bacterial small subunit ribosomal RNA
Source: RNAcentral
UACGAACCGUACAAACGUUGUUCGGAUUUAUUGGGCGUAAAGAGCUCGUAGGCGGCCGAUCGCGUCGGAUGUGAAAGCUCGGGGCUUAACCCUGAGACGCCAUUCGAUACGGAUCGGCUAGAGGUAGGUAGGGGAAAGUGGAAUUCCUGGUGUAGCGGUGAAAUGCGCAGAUAUCAGGAGGAACACCGGUGGCGAAGGCGGCUUUCUGGGCCUUACCUGACGCUGAGGAGCGAAAGCUGGGGGAGCAAACAGG